Molecule: ribosomal RNA, 962 nt
Filed under: uncultured bacterium
Lineage: Bacteria
Description: bacterial SSU rRNA
Rfam family: Bacterial small subunit ribosomal RNA
Source: RNAcentral
AUACGUAGGGUGCAAGCGUUAUCCGGAAUUAUUGGGCGUAAAGGGCUCGUAGGCGGUUCGUCGCGUCCGGUGUGAAAGUCCAUCGCUUAACGGUGGAUCCGCGCCGGGUACGGGCGGGCUUGAGUGCGGUAGGGGAGACUGGAAUUCCCGGUGUAACGGUGGAAUGUGUAGAUAUCGGGAAGAACACCAAUGGCGAAGGCAGGUCUCUGGGCCGUUACUGACGCUGAGGAGCGAAAGCGUGGGGAGCGAACAGGAUUAGAUACCCUGGUAGUCCACGCCGUAAACGGUGGAUGCUGGAUGUGGGGACCAUUCCACGGUCUCCGUGUCGGAGCCAACGCGUUAAGCAUCCCGCCUGGGGAGUACGGCCGCAAGGCUAAAACUCAAAGAAAUUGACGGGGGCCCGCACAAGCGGCGGAGCAUGCGGAUUAAUUCGAUGCAACGCGAAGAACCUUACCUGGGCUUGACAUGUUCCCGACAGCCGUAGAGAUACGGUCUCCCUUCGGGGCGGGUUCACAGGUGGUGCAUGGUCGUCGUCAGCUCGUGUCGUGAGAUGUUGGGUUAAGUCCCGCAACGAGCGCAACCCUCGCCCUGUGUUGCCAGCACGUCGUGGUGGGAACUCACGGGGGACCGCCGGGGUCAACUCGGAGGAAGGUGGGGAUGACGUCAGAUCAUCAUGCCCCUUACGUCCAGGGCUUCACGCAUGCUACAAUGGCCGGUACAACGGGAUGCGACCUCGUGAGGGGGAGCGGAUCCCUUAAAACCGGUCUCAGUUCGGAUUGGAGUCUGCAACCCGACUCCAUGAAGGCGGAGUCGCUAGUAAUCGCGGAUCAGCAACGCCGCGGUGAAUGCGUUCCCGGGCCUUGUACACACCGCCCGUCAAGUCAUGAAAGUGGGUAGCACCCGAAGCCGGUGGCCCAACCUUUUGGGGGGAGCCGUCUAAGGUGAGACUCGUGAUUGGGACU